Long non-coding RNA from Cherax quadricarinatus, 1059 nucleotides. RefSeq lists it as uncharacterized. The record is from RefSeq and is a predicted model, not a curated record. NCBI's taxonomy places the organism in Eukaryota, Metazoa, Arthropoda, Malacostraca, Decapoda, Parastacidae.
CAACGUUGGUCUACUAUGCUCGGUAACAAACUUCAAUCUAUUAAACUGAGUAUAGGUUACUGGCCAUCUUCUUGUCACCAGUGUCGAGGUUGGGAGACUACUGUCUCCCGUCUUCGCAUUGGCCAUACUCGUCUUACUCAUGGAUAUCUCGUGGAGAGGCGCCCUGCUCCUCUCUGUGAGAAUUGUCAGGUUCCAUUAUCAGUCAGCCACAUUCUGUUAGACUGCCCACUUUAUCAACGAGCACGCAGAAUUUACCUCCGUCGUCGUCUUCGCUCCGCUGCUCUCUCUUUAUCUUCCCUUGCUGAUGGACCCACCUUUCAUCUGGACUCUCUCAUUGACUUUUUGACAGCAACUGACUUACUUCACAAACUCUGAUACCUUCCGCCCUUUCUACCUCAAUCUCUUGCUACCCUCUACCCCCGCACUAUCCCCUGCCCCGCUGUUUUCUGUAACCUACUGAUCAUCCCUCCCCCCUUCUGCCACCCAAUACCCUCACUUCCUUCCCUACCCUGCAGCGCUGUAUAGCCCUUGUGGCUUAGCGCUUCUUUUUAAUUAUAAUAAUAAUAAUAAUUCACUUACCUACCUUUGUCUACCUGUAUAUAUACACUACUUUCUCUCAUGUAGUCUCUACCAUGUAAGUGUGGUGAAAGUGUUGAAUGAUGAUGAAAGUAUUUUCUUUUUGGGGAUUUUCUUUCUUUUUUGGGUCACCCUGCCUCGGUGGGAGACGGCCGACUUGUUGAAAAAAAUAAUAAUAAUAAUAAUAAUGCCUCUUGAGUGUUGACCUGCAGCUCCUGAGCCUUUUUAGGGUAUUAAGCUACAGAUGCUGGGCUUCUUGAGUGAAGCACCAGAGUCUCUUGAACGUGUUGAUAUCUAGCUUCUGGGAGGAUUCGGGUCGAGAUCCUAGAAUCUCUCGAAGUUGAGCUGCAAUUCCUGUGCCUCUUGAAGGUUUUGUGGUAUACAUACAACACUUAUCUUGGGUUGUGCAGCAACCAGAAUACAUCUACAGUAAUUGUCAUUUUUUCAACUUUUUACUACAGCUAAAUAAAAAGUAAAAAUAUA